GACAGAGGGUGCAAACGUUGUUCGGAAUUACUGGGCGUAAAGCGCGUGUAGGCGGCUCGGCAAGUCGGGUGUGAAAGCCCUGGGCUUAACCUAGGAAGUGCACUCGAAACUGCCAAGCUUGAGUCCUGGAGAGGAAGGCGGAAUUCUCGGUGUAGAGGUGAAAUUCGUAGAUAUCGAGAGGAACACCGGUGGCGAAGGCGGCCUUCUGGACAGCAACUGACGCUGAGACGCGAAAGCGUGGGGAGCAAACAGG
RNAcentral lists this ribosomal RNA (253 nucleotides) under uncultured bacterium. RNAcentral describes it as "partial 16S ribosomal RNA". It matches the Rfam family "Bacterial small subunit ribosomal RNA", at positions 524 to 776 of the family's 1533-position model. The record is from RNAcentral.